GCGCCUGUAGCUCAACUGGAUAGAGUAUCAGACUACGAAUCUGAGGGUUGGAUGUUCGAGUCAUCUCAGGCGCGCCA
Molecule: transfer RNA, 77 nt
Filed under: Bacilli bacterium
Lineage: Bacteria; Bacillati; Bacillota; Bacilli
Also listed under: 1 other name
Description: tRNA-Arg
Rfam family: tRNA
About the family: Transfer RNA (tRNA) molecules are approximately 80 nucleotides in length.
Source: RNAcentral